AACAAAUAAACGGUGUAGAGUAUCAGUAUCAGUGAU
This 36-nucleotide non-coding RNA is filed under the name Trypanosoma brucei brucei. Lineage: Eukaryota; Euglenozoa; Kinetoplastea; Trypanosomatida; Trypanosomatidae. The record is from RNAcentral.